UGGGGAAUAUUGCACAAUGGGGGAAACCCUGAUGCAGCGACGCCGCGUGAACGAAGAAGGUAUUCGUAUCGUAAAGUUCUGUCCUAUGGGAAGAUAAUGACAGUACCAUAGAAGAAAGCUCCGGCUAAAUACGUGCCAGCAGCCGCGGUAAUACGUAUGGAGCGAGCGUUGUCCGGAAUUAUUGGGCGUAAAGGGUACGCAGGCGGUUUAAUAAGUCGAAUGUUAAAGAUCGGGGCUCAACCCCGUAAAGCAUUGGAAACUGAUAAACUUGAGUAGUGGAGCGGAAAUUGGAAUUCCUAGUGUAGUGGUGAAAUACGUAGAUAUUAGGAGGAAUACCAGUAGCGAAGGCGACUUUCUGGACACAAACUGACGCUGAGGUACGAAAGCGUGGGGAGCAAACAGG
RNAcentral lists this ribosomal RNA (403 nucleotides) under bacterium. RNAcentral describes it as "partial 16S ribosomal RNA". It matches the Rfam family "Bacterial small subunit ribosomal RNA", at positions 355 to 776 of the family's 1533-position model. The record is from RNAcentral.